RNAcentral lists this long non-coding RNA (533 nucleotides) under Nicotiana tabacum (common tobacco). RNAcentral describes it as "long non-coding RNA (NTAB_LNC015134)". The record is from RNAcentral. Lineage: Eukaryota; Viridiplantae; Streptophyta; Magnoliopsida; Solanales; Solanaceae.
ACUGAAUUUUUCCAUGCAGUCAGCAUUAGGGUUUUAAACCCUAAACUGACCCUUUUUCCUUUAAUCAGCAUUAGGGUUUUAAACCCUAAACUGAGCUUUUCCAUGCAAUCAGCAUUAGGGUUUUAAACCCUAAACUAAAUUUUUCCAUGCAAUCAGCAUUAGGGUUUUAAACCCUAAACUAAAUUUUUCCAUGCAAUCAGCAUUAGGAUUUUAAACCCUAAACUGAGCUUUUCCAUUUAGUCAGCAUUAGGGUUUUAAACCCUAAACUGAAUUAUUUCCAUUCAGCCAGCAUUAGGUUUUUAAACCCUAAACUGAGCUUUUCCAUUCAGUCAGCAUUAGGGUUUUAAACCCUAAACUGAACUUUUUCCUUCAGCCAGCAUUAGGGUUUUAAACCCUAAACUGAGCUUUUCCAUGCAAUCAGCAUUAGGGUUUUAAACCCUAAACUGAAUUUUUCCUUUAGUCAGCAUUAGGGUUUUAAACCCUAAACUGAACUUUUUCCCAUUCAGUCAGCAUUAGGGUUUUAAACCCUAAAA